This 433-nucleotide unclassified non-coding RNA is filed under the name soil metagenome. RNAcentral's name for it is "partial contains 5.8S ribosomal RNA, internal transcribed spacer 2, and large subunit ribosomal RNA". The stretch from base 1 to 120 matches the Rfam family "5.8S ribosomal RNA", at positions 35 to 154 of the family's 154-position model. The record is from RNAcentral.
GAUGAAGAACGUAGCGAAAUGCGAUACGUAAUGUGAAUUGCAGAAUUCAGUGAAUCAUCGAAUCUUUGAACGCAUAUUGCGCUCUCUGGUAUUCCGGAGAGCAUGCUUGUUUGAGUAUCAGUAAACACCUCAACUCCCCUUUCUUUUUUUGAAAUGGGAGCUGGACUUGAGUGAUCCCAACGCUUUUCUCACCGAAAAGUGGCGGGUUACUUGAAAUGCAGGUGCAGCUGGACUUUUCUCUGAGCUAAAAGCAUAGCUAUUUAGUCUGCCUAAAAAACAGAUUAUUACCUUUGCUGCAGCUAACAUAAAGGAGAUUAGUUCUUGUGCUGACUGAUGCAGGAUUCACAGAGACAGCUUCGGCUGGCCUUUGUAAACUCGAUCUCAAAUCAAGUAAGACUACCCGCUGAACUUAAGCAUAUCAAUAAGCGGAGGA